RNAcentral lists this non-coding RNA (109 nucleotides) under Pirellula staleyi. RNAcentral's name for it is "c-di-GMP sequence". It matches the Rfam family "c-di-GMP-I-GGC riboswitch aptamer". The record is from RNAcentral. RNAcentral also lists the same sequence under 1 other name. Lineage: Bacteria; Pseudomonadati; Planctomycetota; Planctomycetia; Pirellulales; Pirellulaceae.
CUCGAUAAGGGCAAACCGGUAGAGAUGCCGGGGCGCAAAGCAAAGGGCCUUUGGCCCGCUGGGAUCACGCAAGUGAACUGGUGGGCCGAUGGUAGCCUGGCUGCCGAAA